GACGAACGCUGGCGGCGUGCCUAAUACAUGCAAGUCGAACGCAGUGGGGACGGGUGCGUAACACGUGGGUAACCUCCCAUCAGAGGGGAUAACACUUGGAAACAGGUGCUAAACCGAUACUGAUGGAUGGACCCGCGGUGCAUUAGCUAGUUGGUGAGGUAACGGCUCACCAAGGCCACGAUGCAUAGCCGACCGGCGAGGGUGAUCGGCCAAAAUGGGACGGAGACAAGGCCCAGACUCCUACGGGAGGCAGCAGUAGGGAAUCUUAGGCAAUGGACGAAAGUCUGAACGAGCAACGCCGGGUGAGUGAAGAAGGUUUUCGGAUCGUAAAACUCUGUUGUUAGAGAAGCGGUAUCUAACCAGAAAGCCACGGCUAACUACGUGCCAGCCGCCGCGGUAAUUC
Molecule: ribosomal RNA, 403 nt
Filed under: uncultured bacterium
Lineage: Bacteria
Description: partial 16S ribosomal RNA
Rfam family: Bacterial small subunit ribosomal RNA
Source: RNAcentral